CCGAGUUGAUUCGGGCUCCGGCCCGAUCCUCCCACCCUUUGUGUACCUACCUCUGUUGCUUUGGCGGGCCGCGGUCCUCCGCGGCCGCCCCCCUUCCCCGGGGGGUGGCCAGCGCCCGCCAGAGGACCAUCAAACUCCAGUCAGUAAACGAUGCAGUCUGAAAAACAUUUAAUAAACUAAAACUUUCAACAACGGAUCUCUUGGUUCUGGCAUCGAUGAAGAACGCAGCGAAAUGCGAUAAGUAAUGUGAAUUGCAGAAUUCAGUGAAUCAUCGAAUCUUUGAACGCACAUUGCGCCCUUUGGUAUUCCGAAGGGCAUGCCUGUUCGAGCGUCAUUACAACCCUCAAGCUCUGCUUGGUAUUGGGCACCGUCCUUUGCGGGCGCGCCUCAAAGACCUCGGCGGUGGCGUCUUGCCUCAAGCGUAGUAGAACAUACAUCUCGCUUCGGAGCGCAGGGCGUCGCCCGCCGGACGAACCUUCUGAACUUUUCUCAAGGUUGACCUCGGAUCAUUCUGGG
This 516-nucleotide ribosomal RNA is filed under the name Botryosphaeria dothidea. Its description in RNAcentral is "eukaryotic LSU rRNA". The stretch from base 181 to 334 matches the Rfam family "5.8S ribosomal RNA". Lineage: Eukaryota; Fungi; Ascomycota; Dothideomycetes; Botryosphaeriales; Botryosphaeriaceae. The record is from RNAcentral.